Molecule: ribosomal RNA, 460 nt
Filed under: Crosnierius carinatus
Lineage: Eukaryota; Metazoa; Arthropoda; Malacostraca; Decapoda; Xanthidae
Description: partial 16S ribosomal RNA
Rfam family: Bacterial large subunit ribosomal RNA
Source: RNAcentral
CAAAGGUAGCAUAAUCAUUAGUUUUUUAAUUGAAAACUGGUAUGAAGGGUUGGACAAAGGAAAAGCUGUCUUUAAAAUAUAAAUUGAAAUUUACUUUUAAGUGAAAAGGCUUAAAUAUUUCGAAGGGACGAUAAGACCCUAUAAAGCUUUAUAUAUUGUUUAAAUUUAAUUAAGUUAAGUAAUAAAGAUUAAAGUUAAAUAUUAUAUUUUGUUGGGGCGAUGUGAGUAUAAUUUAUUUUAACUGCUUAAAAGAAAUACAAUUAUAAGUGAUUUAUAUGAAAAUGAUCCUUUAUAAAGAUUAAAGACUAAGUUACUUUAGGGAUAACAGCGUUAUUUCUUUUGAGAGCCCAUAUCGAAAAAGAAGUUUGCGACCUCGAUGUUGAAUUAAAAUGUCUAUAUAAUGCAGCCGUUAUAAGAGAAGGUCUGUUCGACCUUUAAAAUUUUACAUGAUUUGAGUUCA